This 254-nucleotide ribosomal RNA is filed under the name uncultured bacterium. Its description in RNAcentral is "partial 16S ribosomal RNA". It matches the Rfam family "Bacterial small subunit ribosomal RNA", at positions 524 to 776 of the family's 1533-position model. The record is from RNAcentral.
UACGGGGGGAGCAAGCGUUGUUCGGAUUUACUGGGCGUAAAGGGCGCGUAGGCGGUCAGCACAAGUCAGUUGUGAAAUCUCCGGGCUUAACUCGGAAAGGUCAACUGAUACUGUGCGACUAGAGUGCGGAAGGGGCAACUGGAAUUCUUGGUGUAGCGGUGAAAUGCGUAGAUAUCAAGAGGAACACCGGUGGCGAAGGCGGGUCUCUGGGCCGUAACUGACGCUGAGGAGCGAAAGCAUGGGGAGCGAACAGG